GCUGGGCAUAGUGGCGCGUGCCUGUAAUCCCGGCUACUUGGGAGGCUGAGGCAGGAGAAUCGCUUGAACCCAGGAGGUAGAGGUUGCAGUGAGCAGAGAUCACGCCAUUGCACUCCAGCCUGGGUGACAGAGUGAGACUCUGUCUCAC
This 148-nucleotide non-coding RNA is filed under the name Gorilla gorilla gorilla (western lowland gorilla). The record is from Rfam by way of RNAcentral. Lineage: Eukaryota; Metazoa; Chordata; Mammalia; Primates; Hominidae.